AUGAUAUACUGUAGCAAUUUUCUUGAGUUAAAUUAGGAUUUUUUGAACUCUUGAUUUCCCUGUCAUAUAUAUAUAUAUAUAAACUAAAUAUUAUAUAAAGUUAGAGUCUAUAGCGACCAUGUUAAUAUUUGCAUUGGCAUGGCACUGAAUAUAGAACUCUAAGUCUGGCUUUCUAUAUUUAGUGACACACACCUUUAAUACCAGCACCAGGGAGGCAGGUGGAUGCCUGUGAGUUCAAGACAAGACCAGUGUGAUCUACAAGAGCGAGUUCCAGGAUAGACUCUGUACUCGGACAGGCUCUGUAAAUGUUGUGCUUUGUGUAUGAACAUGAUAUUGUAGGUAGAGCAUGCAUAGUAGAAAAUGGCACUUGGGAAAUUGUCCUUCUACCCUACCAUUAUAAUAUUUGCUUAUGCUCAGAAAGGAUGAGUAUUUUUGUGACUCUUCUUAUUUUGCUCAAAUUCAUUUGUCCAAAUGGCUUUUAAAAUAAUGCAUUAUCAGUGCCCGAUUUUCUGCUGGGCUUGAUAGUUGUGUAAUGCUUUCACUUACAUAGUAUACUGACAUUAUUUCUUAGAUCUCUUUUGAUUUCACUAGUGAUUCCUGUUUAUAACUUUAAGCCUUGAAUUCAUUCUUGAGUUGGCCCAGUAAAAAAAUACAGAUACUUUCAUAGAGUUAGGGGAACUUCUCUUUUGAAGAUGUCAGUAUAUUCUUAGCAAUUAUUAUUAAUUAGUGAUUUAUUUUUUUCAUUGGAAUAACAGUUCAGAAUCAAAUAUUUGCAAAUGCAUUCUUUUCUGAGUUUAUCAACUUGUCCCUGCACUACAAAUUGCAUUAGUUUAGUACUUGAAUCUAUUUCAAAGGUUUUGAAAAGUAGGUUUAUGUGAACAAUUUUUCAGGUAUGCUCAUUUUUUAAAAUUUAAAUUAACAGAAACUGCUAAAAGCAGCACCAUUUUUCUUUAUUUAUCAUGCAGCAUGUACACAUAAUUUAAUUAUAGACACUUAUGACUACAACACAAGAAUUCAUAGAAACAUAGAUCUUUGUGAGUUUAAUAUGAAAUAUUAUUGGUGUGCUAUUUCUUAUGCCAUGGUAAUUAUUUUGCUUUACACUAAAAUAAACAUGUGGAAACAUAUAAUUUAUAUUGUAACUAUAGAAAUUCUCUGCCAGAGUUCAUGACUUUUUGAAACUUCAAGUUGUUAAUAUUGCUUUUUCAGGUAAAGCCUUAAUAUGUUUCCUCCUAAAAUUUAAGUCUGUAAUAUAUACUCACUACUUUCUGAAAAACUGUGGUUGACAAGAGUGAGUUGGUCCAAAUGUGCUAAUAGUGUAUCUAGACAUGAAUGUAAGUAUGUUGAAAGAAUACAUGGGUUUUUGUGAGUGAGAGGACCUUUUGCGAUCCUUACACACUCCACUGCAGAGUUGGGGAAAGAGAUUGGUAGAGUCCUGGCAAUUCAUGUUGACAGCUGUUGCUUAAUACACCUGUGUGGUUACUGGAUCACUGGUGCUGAACAGCAAUGGAAUGAACUCUGAAGAACUGAAGAACUUGCUGCUUUGAGAGAUGGAAAUUUGCCCUAGGAGGAAACUGAGAGGGAACCUUAUUGCAAGCAUUUCUGUAACUGAUGGUUCCUGGAUGAUACCUGAAGGUUUUUCUACAACAGGGAAGCAGAUACUUUCUCAAGCAAUAACAGCAUGUCUGCUACCAGCUGUCCCUGUGAUGCUCUUAUUUCACCAUGAAUAUCUUCAAGCAGCAGAUACCAACAGUGUAGAAGGGUGCCCAGCAGGAGUGAUGACUCUCUUGGACACUGUGAUAUCAGGAUACAUUUGACUUAUUGUCCUGGGUAGUCUUCUGUAGGAUCCUAUUGAACUGAAUCUUUGUAACAUAUGACGAAAUAAUUGGACAGUCCAACCAGAUGUAUCUUAAUAUCUGUGAUCUUUGUACAGGGAGAAUAAUGAAAGGUUUCUGCUGAGGUAUUGCAGACAAAUCAAAAUGUCA
Molecule: non-coding RNA, 1982 nt
Organism: Myodes glareolus (Bank vole)
Lineage: Eukaryota; Metazoa; Chordata; Mammalia; Rodentia; Cricetidae
Source: RefSeq, a predicted model, not a curated record